This 24-nucleotide small nuclear RNA is filed under the name Arabidopsis thaliana (thale cress). Its description in RNAcentral is "snRNA_15144". The record is from RNAcentral. Lineage: Eukaryota; Viridiplantae; Streptophyta; Magnoliopsida; Brassicales; Brassicaceae.
AGCGCUUAUUAUGCGAGGUGGAGU